This 473-nucleotide ribosomal RNA is filed under the name uncultured bacterium. RNAcentral describes it as "bacterial SSU rRNA". It matches the Rfam family "Bacterial small subunit ribosomal RNA", at positions 328 to 793 of the family's 1533-position model. The record is from RNAcentral.
CUCUGUGACUCCUACGGGAGGCAGCAGUGGGGAAUAUUGCACAAUGGGGGAAACCCUGAUGCAGCCAUGCCGCGUGUGUGAAGAAGGCCUUCGGGUUGUAAAGCACUUUCAGUAGGGAGGAAGGUAGUGUAGUUAACACCUGCAUUAUUUGACGUUACCUACAGAAGAAGCACCGGCUAACUCCGUGCCAGCAGCCGCGGUAAUACGGAGGGUGCGAGCGUUAAUCGGAAUUACUGGGCGUAAAGCGCAUGCAGGCGGCCUGUUAAGUCAGAUGUGAAAGCCCGGGGCUUAACCUCGGAAUUGCAUUUGAAACUGGGCAGGCUAGAGUCUUGUAGAGGGGGUAGAAUUUCAGGUGUAGCGGUGAAAUGCGUAGAGAUCUGAAGGAAUACCAGUGGCGAAGGCGGCCCCCUGGACAAAGACUGACGCUCAGAUGCGAAAGCGUGGGGAGCAAACAGGAUUAGAUACCCUGGUAG